UUUCAAGUGCCGGAGACAGAUGCUUUGGACAGGCUUAGGUUUAUCCCUUCCUGCAACAAAAGUUAUAGGUCCAAUGGGUCCCUCCAUCUAAGAUGGCUUAUUCUAAAAUAAAACUUCUUUCUAAGGCCUGUUUUCAUUGUUCUCAAUAUUCCAGCGUGAAGCCAUCUAGCUGAAUCAAAAUGGAGCUGCUGCCUGCCUACAGAUUUUUUAUGUGGGUGAACAUUAUUGUUUUUUAGAGAGUGAAAACUAGAUCCUGGGACAGCACUGGACACACACAGAUGUUUGAGAACUACUGUUCCCAAUCUAUGAAUGAGGCUGUAACUUUUCAACCUGCAAAUUCACUUCAGAUAUUUAAGAAGAACCUUCUAAGUGAAAAUAUGAAAGUGAACAAAAGCUUUCCUUUUUAAAUACACUUGUGUAACCAAUUGUUUGGAACAAGUCACCAAUGAUGCCUUACUUCAGUUCACUAUUCUUUCAAAUAAAAGAUGUAUUUGUGAAAUUAUAAUCAUUCAAAUAGCCAUUUUGAGGGCUAUGUUUUUUUUUUUUUUCAGUCACAAAUCUAAGUGACCCUGAGAAUUGUAAAAAGAUACUAUGGAAAUAUCAAUAGUGUUUUUAUGUUUUGAGCCAAUGAUUUUAAACUUCCACUUGCUAAAAAAAAUCAAGAAAGAUGAAGUAUGAAAACAAGCACGUAGAUCUUUCUUUUGUAUUACAUGUGUGUAACUAAGAAGCCAGUACUCAGAUAAAUGGCUACAAUCUUAAUAGCUCGCUCCUGGAAAGCCAAAACUGCAUUUCUCUUUUGUCAGGACUGGAAGCAUGUAAAUUGAUUGCCCAAUUAAGGAAAGGUUGACUGAAGGACACCAAAUCUCUGUAAAAGACAGCCCGCUUCCUGAAGCCUCGUCUAGUGGAGGGAGGUUCUGACAUACUGUUUUGUUCAGGCUGGUCCUCCACCCCAAGAAUGGAGCUCUGCUUCCUACCCUACCUACCUAAGGACUACUCUCCAAAGGAGUACAAGAACCCAAGCCAGUUCACUGCAAGGCAGGUUAUGCUGGAUGCCUUUUUGGGCAGGAUGUAAGGCCUGUUUCCUACCUUAUUUCCAUUUUGUGUGGUGGUCUGAUAUAAGGCUUUGCUUGUGGGCAGUGUUGUAGCACUGGUUAUAGCUGAAACUGCCCCAUGAGGACAGGCUCCUUCAUCAGUUAACCCACUUACCAUAGAAGUUGGACCCUCCUUACCAAAUUUGUCUCUAGUAAACGGUGUUAUGAGGUUCUAGCCUAGAUUUAAUAAAUUUACAUCGUAUGCUUCCCCA
RNAcentral lists this long non-coding RNA (1303 nucleotides) under Homo sapiens (human). RNAcentral describes it as "HSALNT0188165". The record is from RNAcentral. Lineage: Eukaryota; Metazoa; Chordata; Mammalia; Primates; Hominidae.